UAAAUACUCCCUCCAUCCGGAAUUACUUGUAAAAUGGAUGUAUCUAGAUGUAUUUUAGUUUUAGAUACAUUCAUUUUUAUCCAUUUCCGCGACAAGUAAUUCGGAACGCACGGAGGGAGUAUAAU
Triticum aestivum (bread wheat) is the source of this 125-nucleotide non-coding RNA. The record is from Rfam. Lineage: Eukaryota; Viridiplantae; Streptophyta; Magnoliopsida; Poales; Poaceae.